CAGCCGCCUCGGUAAUACCGGCGGCCCGAGUGGCGGUCACUAUUAUUGGGCUUAAAGCGUCCGUAGCCGGGUUGGGAAGUCCUCCGGGAAAUCUGGCCGCUUAACGGUCAGAAUGCCGGAGGAUACUCCCAGCCUAGGGAGCGGGAGAGGCCGAGGGUAUUCCCGGAGUAGGGGUGAAAUCCUAUAAUCCCGGGAGGACCACCUGUGGGGAAGGCGCUCGGCUGGAACGCGUCCGACGGUGAGGGACGAAGGCCAGGGGAGCAAACCGGAUUAGAUACCCGGGUAGUCCUGGCUGUAAACGAUGCGGACUUUGUGUCGGACAAGCUAUGAGCUUGUCCGGUGCCGGAGGGAAACCGUUAAGUCCGCCGCCUGGGGAGUACGGCCGCAAGGCUGAAACUUAAAGGAAUUGGCGGG
Molecule: ribosomal RNA, 414 nt
Filed under: uncultured microorganism
Description: bacterial SSU rRNA
Rfam family: Archaeal small subunit ribosomal RNA
Source: RNAcentral